GACGAACGCUGGCGGCGUGCCUAAUACAUGCAAGUCGAACGCUUCUUUCCUCCCGAGUGCUUGCACUCAAUUGGAAAGAGGAGUGGCGGACGGGUGAGUAACACGUGGGUAACCUACCCAUCAGAGGGGGAUAACACUUGGAAACAGGUGCUAAUACCACAUAACAGUUUAUGCCGCAUGGCAUAAGAGUGAAAGGCGCUUUCGGGUGUCGCUGAUGGAUGGACCCGCGGUGCAUUAGCUAGUUGGUGAGGUAACGGCUCACCAAGGCCACGAUGCAUAGCCGACCUGAGAGGGUGAUCGGCCACACUGGGACUGAGGCACGGCCCAGACUCCUACGGGAGGCAGCAGUAGGGAAUCUUCGGCAAUGGACGAAAGUCUGACCGAGCAACGCCGCGUGAGUGAAGAAGGUUUUCGGAUCGUAAAACUCUGUUGUUAGAGAAGAACAAGGACGUUAGUAACUGAACGUCCCCUGACGGUAUCUAACCAGAAAGCCACGGCUAACUACGUG
This 508-nucleotide ribosomal RNA is filed under the name uncultured bacterium. RNAcentral's name for it is "partial 16S ribosomal RNA". It matches the Rfam family "Bacterial small subunit ribosomal RNA", at positions 28 to 507 of the family's 1533-position model. The record is from RNAcentral.